GCUUUGGUUUGACAGCAUAUACUAAAAUUAGAACAAUACAGAGAAAAUUAGCAUGGCCCCUGUGCAAGCAUGACACACAAAUUUGGGAAGUGCUCCAUAUUUGG
Hyaena hyaena (striped hyena) is the source of this 104-nucleotide small nuclear RNA. Lineage: Eukaryota; Metazoa; Chordata; Mammalia; Carnivora; Hyaenidae. The record is from RefSeq and is a predicted model, not a curated record.